CACGUAGGCGGACUGAAAAGUCAGAGGUGAAAUCCCAGGGCUCAACCUUGGAACUGCCUUUGAAACUCUCAGUCUUGAGAUCGUGAGAGGUGAGUGGAAUUCCGAGUGUAGAGGUGAAAUUCGUAGAUAUUCGGAGGAACACCAGUGGCGAAGGCGGCUCACUGGCACGAUACUGACGCUGAGGUGCGAAAGCGUGGGGAGCAAACA
Molecule: ribosomal RNA, 207 nt
Filed under: uncultured bacterium
Lineage: Bacteria
Description: partial 16S ribosomal RNA
Rfam family: Bacterial small subunit ribosomal RNA
Source: RNAcentral